GGAUAGGUAAGGUUUUUUGAAAUCGGUCUGACCUAAUACAGGUGUGAGAGAUGUACAGCUCUGUCUGAGACAGGUGUGUGAGAGGUACAGCUCUGUCUGAUACAGGUGUGAGAGAGGUACAGCUCUGACUGAUACAGGUGUGUGGGUGGUACAGCUCCUUCUCCUCAGCCAAGGACUACAUAUCUUUCGACUCUAGCAGUCCACUUAAGAUCCUCAUGGGCCACAUCAGGAGUAAGCCCAGGAAUGUGGAGGCAGUAGCCAAUCCCGCGCCUGCCUCUGAGGCCGCCAGAAAGCUUAAAUCACCUGCGUACAGUGACAUUUUACAAGCCUGCAUGACCUUCAGUCCCUGACCAGUACAACGCAUCACAUGGUCCAGUGCACGUCAGGACAACAAAUGGCUCCCCAGCGUCCGCCCCCAACUCUGGCCCUUAGACAUGCACAUGUAGCACCAGGGCCCCAGCUCCCCCCACCCCUAAAAAGCCUCUGCACACAAUCAUCCCUCACCCAGGGGAGAAAGCUCCUGUUUUCCAUCGUUAGAAAUGUACUGUGCUUAGCCUGGACAUCUCGCAAGACUGGCUUCUGUACCCGUGCACAGAUUUAUCACCGCUGUUCAGCUACGACUCUCAGAACUCCAUAAAAAUCCCCCUGGGGAACCCUCCCCCCCCCCCCUCCCCACACCAUACCCAUCCUCACGGGACAAGCCUUGUAAAACACUGCUUUCCUGACGAGGGCUGCACUGACCUAAUUUUCCACACUUCUCCAGUUGCGAGAUACAAGGAUUCAAGUUUUUUUUUUUUUUUUUACAAUGUUGAGCUGAAUGGACACAUUCAAAACUUUCUCAGUUCACUUCCAGCGGGGAUUUUCCUCAGAAGAGCCUGGUGUAGGAGCCAUCUUCCUUUUUCAUGCUAUGCCACAGGAACUCGCAAGCUUUUCCCCCGGCUAAAGCAAUUAGCCAAAAAUGUCUUUGUGACUCUGCCCCCUGACGAACGUGCCUCUCUGGGUGGAGAGUAUUCGUGAAUGAUGGGGGGGGGGGGCACUGUCAACCAAUCAGGCUGCAGCUUUCAACUUUCUCCUUUUUUUUUGUAUUCUGUCUUUGACCUUGAGAUCUAUACAAAUGUUCUGCCCCAUCCCAAUCCCUGGUCUGUGGAAAGCUUUGACCCUGAUGAGCUGGGGCACAAAUUCAUAUUUUCACAUUCUCUGUCCAAAAAAAUGAAAAGGAAAACCUGAACCUUAGUGUGGGAACUGUGGGGGUGAAGUGUCCCUCUCCGGUGAAAACCGACCCCCCCGUCAGACUGGACAGUUGAGAUGGCCCACAUACCGCAGCAGGUCACACGCACUUUGCUGCCGGGACACCAUUCCUCUUUGCGACAAACUGACCUUUUAGCUUUUCACGACGUCAGCUUCUCAUCUGGCUUCAAAGCCUCGGCCCCUGGGGCUUGGUCCCUACGGUUGCCGUGGCAGCGAAAAGAGUGCGAGCAAUCAGUCGGGGCUCCCUAGCCCUGGUCCUGGAGGGCCACAGCGUGGGCUGGCUUUCGCUGUUACUCUGCCCUUAACUGAGCAGUUAAAGCUGAUGAUUGCACCGUUAAACUCGCCUCACCUUGUUCCUGACGCUCCAGCGGGCUGCUGAUUCGGGUGUAAAGAUGUGUGGACCCUGCGGCUGUCCUGGGCCAGGGCUGGGGAGCGCUGAGUUUGUGUGGAGGCGUGCCUUGGCUGUCUUGCCUUACACUGAUAAUGACGUGAAUGCAUUGGGUGUCUGACCUGUAAUGCACCUGUGGUAUACCAGACAGCGCCACUGUGUGGACUUGCCAUUGGAUGAUGAGGAACAAUGUCUGCUCACUGCAGAACAAUAUGUGAUUUAAUAUUCAUAUUUUAAUCUGCUGUAUUCAAUAUUUUUCCUCGCCCGUUUGUUAAGGAACCAUUGUUUAGUCUUUGGGGGCUUUAUAUCAGUGUGCAGAGAUCGUUUCUCAUCCAGUAUUUAUUUUUAACCUUACGCUUUAAAAAGCAGCACAUAUGUGUGUAUUGCUUUUGUUUUGACACUGGAAAUUGUCAUCGAAUGAGUUUGUUAAACCGCUCUUGUUUUCUUCUUCCCUUCU
Molecule: long non-coding RNA, 2093 nt
Organism: Anguilla rostrata (American eel)
Lineage: Eukaryota; Metazoa; Chordata; Actinopteri; Anguilliformes; Anguillidae
Exons: 3
Source: RefSeq, a predicted model, not a curated record